GACGAACGCUGGCGGCGUGCUUAACACAUGCAAGUCGAGCGGUAAGGCCCUUUCGGGGGUACACGAGCGGCGAACGGGUGAGUAACACGUGGGUGACCUGCCCUCAGCUCUGGGAUAAGCCUGGGAAACCGGGUCUAAUACUGGAUAUGACUCCAUGACGCAUGUUGUGGGGUGGAAAGCCUUGUGCGGCUGAGGAUGGGCCCGCGGCCUAUCAGCUUGUUGGUGGGGUGANGGGCCUACCAAGGCGACGACGGGUAGCCGGCCUGAGAGGGCGACCGGCCAUACUGGGACUGAGACACGGCCCAGACUCCUACGGGAGGCAGCAGUGGGGAAUCUUGCGCAAUGGGCGAAAGCCUGACGCAGCGACGCCGCGUGAGGGAUGACGGCC
RNAcentral lists this ribosomal RNA (388 nucleotides) under uncultured bacterium. RNAcentral describes it as "bacterial SSU rRNA". It matches the Rfam family "Bacterial small subunit ribosomal RNA", at positions 28 to 416 of the family's 1533-position model. The record is from RNAcentral.